GUGGAGUUACUUAAUGCAAGUAAGGAUGGCAGCAGCACAUCUCAGGGAUGGUCCCCAAACCGGUACAUGUGUUCACUUGUUGUCAAAACUCCAAUGUGAUGUAUUUUUUGAUUCUAAUCAAGUUAUGUGCAUAACACCUUCCAUCCCCAUGCCGGGGGCUACUGCCAGCCUACUUCCAUGUGGGCUGUGGGGCUGUGACCUCACAGAGCGAUCCCCACCUGCCGGACUAUGACCUCAUGGCUCUGCCCAUGUAAGCCAGCGGCCAGCACUUUGUCUCUCCCAGUGCGGUCGUGACCGGCUUUGAGCGAUGGUUGUCGACAGCGUUCUCCUUAUCCCCAGCCUCCUGCUCCUGGUGGCUGGGGUGUCUCUGCUCACCGCUUUCUGGCGCCGACAGGUAGGGAAAUUUGAGGAUGGGAGUCACUUGAGGCUAGGUGACUCAGGGCUUGGGGGUGGGGGGUUAGGGCUGCCCCACAAGCCCUGUCACUGUGCCACGUUCAUGUGCCCGUAGGGUUCUGACCGGCGCCGGCAAUGGUGGAGAUGGUGGCAGCAAGUGGUAUCACUGAAGUCAGGUGAGUCCCCUGAGGGUCAACCUGGCACAUUGCCGGGCAGGGCCAGCCCUCCAGGGGAAGCCAAGCUUCAUACCAGCCUCUGUCAUGUAGCAGCCAGGCCAGGUGGGCCUGGAAGAUCCCGCUGCCCCCUAACCUACUGUGGCUCAGGCCCACUCCCUGUUUUACAGGUGCUGAGAGGCAGGCAGGCAGGCGCGGGAGCCCCCUGUGCAGGCCAUGUUGCUCCCAGCAGCAAGCAUCACCAUGGCAGGGCAGUCCCAUCCUGCCCCAUGUCACCCAGCCAGGAAAGACCCAGCCUUUGUUGCAGCGUAACCUGUGCCCCUCUCUUCACACCAACUCUGCCACUGGUACCACGAGGCCUGCGGGGAAACCCGGCAGGCUUCCCGGACAGGACCAGCGCCCGCAGGUUCUGGUGGCACGUGGGACCCCCAGGAUGUUCGGUCAGCGUUCAAGGCUAGGCAGUGGAGUUCAGGACCUGCCUCCUGAGAUCCUCAGCUGCACAAAGCCACCGGUGAAAGGGAUGGUCUUUCAGGAGGGCCUUGUUCAAACAGAGGAGAGAAAACGCUGGUGGGAAUACAAGACCAAGAGGCCUAUUUGGCCUAUGCGCCCCCCAGCACUUCCCAGAGGGCACAAGAAAGCAGGAGCAGCAGCAAGACCAUCACGAGGACCAGCUUUGAGCCUGGAGAAAAAAGCAGACAGCCAAACUGAAACCUGCCAGCCCUUCAACUCUGGCUUCAGCGGCAGCAGAAGCACAGAGCAAUCGGACAGGCUCGCUAUGGAAAGGCUGUACCGGCAGCUCCUGGUGUCCCUAAAACGGCCCAAGACCAAGAACGAUUGCUAACAAGUCAGGCUGUGGAACUGAAGAACAUCCUCCCUGUAA
Molecule: long non-coding RNA, 1446 nt
Organism: Gallus gallus (chicken)
Lineage: Eukaryota; Metazoa; Chordata; Aves; Galliformes; Phasianidae
Source: Ensembl